UCGACGAGUUUGAUCCUGGCUCAGAACUAACGCUGGCGGCGCGUCUUAAACAUGCAAGUCGAACGGAAAGGCCCUUCGGGGUACUCGAGUGGCGAACGGGUGAGUAACACGUAGGUAAUCUACCCUCGGGUGGGGGAUAACCCUUCGAAAGGAGAGCUAAUACCGCAUAACACUACGGAGUCCACGGGCUCCAUAGUCAAAGCAGUAAUGCGCCUGAGGAUGAGCCUGCGUCCGAUUAGCUUGUUGGCGGGGUAACGGCCCACCAAGGCUCCGAUCGGUAGCCGGCCUGAGAGGGUGAACGGCCACACUGGAACUGGGACACGGUCCAGACUCCUACGGGAGGCAGCAGUUAAGAAUCUUGCGCAAUGGGGGAAACCCUGACGCAGCGACGCCGCGUGUGCUAGAAGGCUUUCGGGUUGUAAAGCACAGUAAACAGGGAAGAAGAAAGUGACGGUACCUGUCCAAAGCACCGGCUAACUACGUG
RNAcentral lists this ribosomal RNA (484 nucleotides) under uncultured bacterium. RNAcentral describes it as "bacterial SSU rRNA". It matches the Rfam family "Bacterial small subunit ribosomal RNA", at positions 1 to 507 of the family's 1533-position model. The record is from RNAcentral.